Molecule: small nucleolar RNA, 138 nt
Organism: Ornithorhynchus anatinus (platypus)
Lineage: Eukaryota; Metazoa; Chordata; Mammalia; Monotremata; Ornithorhynchidae
Source: RefSeq, a predicted model, not a curated record
CACCUCUCAAGAUGGCACCCGGAGAGUUUCCAGUCCUCUACCGGUCUCGGCUACGGGAGGGAGAGUCCAGCAGAGGCCUACCCAGUCCAUUCCUAGCUUGGCUGAUAGCUAGCGAGUGGAAAGUCAUCUGCUACAAGU